CCUACGGGUGGCAGCAGUGGGGAAUAUUGGACAAUGGGGGCAACCCUGAUCCAGCCAUGCCGCGUGUGUGAAGAAGGCCCUCGGGUUGUAAAGCACUUUCAGUGAGGAAGAACGCCUGGUGGUUAAUACCCAUCAGGAAAGACAUCACUCACAGAAGAAGCACCGGCUAACUCCGUGCCAGCAGCCGCGGUAAUACGGAGGGUGCGAGCGUUAAUCGGAAUUACUGGGCGUAAAGCGCGCGUAGGUGGCUUGAUAAGCCGGUUGUGAAAGCCCCGGGCUCAACCUGGGAACGGCAUCCGGAACUGUCAAGCUAGAGUGCAGGAGAGGAAGGUAGUAUUCCCGGUGUAGCGGUGAAAUGCGUAGAGAUCGGGAGGAAUACCAGUGGCGAAGGCGGCCUUCUGGACUGACACUGACACUGAGGUGCGAAAGCGUGGGUAGCAAACAGGAUUAGAUACCCCUGUAGUC
This 465-nucleotide ribosomal RNA is filed under the name Vreelandella stevensii. RNAcentral describes it as "partial 16S ribosomal RNA". It matches the Rfam family "Bacterial small subunit ribosomal RNA", at positions 338 to 795 of the family's 1533-position model. The record is from RNAcentral. Lineage: Bacteria; Pseudomonadati; Pseudomonadota; Gammaproteobacteria; Oceanospirillales; Halomonadaceae.